Molecule: non-coding RNA, 364 nt
Organism: Heterocephalus glaber (naked mole-rat)
Lineage: Eukaryota; Metazoa; Chordata; Mammalia; Rodentia; Bathyergidae
Source: RefSeq, a predicted model, not a curated record
CUCUGGCUGGGCUGGCAGUGGGCACCAGAGUCAUCCUGUCCCAGCCCCAGCUCAGGCAGGCUGUGGUCAUCCUGAUUGGGGUGCCCAGGAGACCCUAUAUGCGGUCCCAGGGGAGCAUCGCGUCACACCCUAGGAACACAAUGGCUUCAUGUGCCUGGCGCUGAGGCUUGGGGCCUCCCAGGUGCACUGAACUCCUUCGGGAAGAAUGACAUCUCCACAUUGAAGCCGUUGGCCGCAGGCUCCUGGCAGCACCUGUGCCAGGUCACCUUCAGGAGACUCAUGGGCCUCUCUCUGUGCCUCUUCUCGGCCCCUCCUGAGAUCUGCUGCCCUUUGUGUGCCUGUCACCACUCAUGUGCGUUCUCUC